AGAGCGAACGCUGGCGGCAGGCCUAACACAUGCAAGUCGAGCGCCCGUAGCAAUACGGGAGCGGCAGACGGGAUAGUAACACGUGGGAACGCGCCCUUCGGUUCGGAAUAACUCAGGGAAACUUGAGCUAAUACCGGAUACGCCCUUACGGGGAAAGAUUUAUUGCCGAAGGAACGGCCCGCGUCCGAUUAGCUAGUUGGUGAGGUAAUGGCUCACCAAGGCGACGAUCGGUAGCUGGUCUGAGAGGAUGACCAGCAUCACUGGGACUGAGACACGGCCCAGACUCCUACGGGAGGCAGCAGUGGGGAAUAUUGGACAAUGGGCGCAAGCCUGAUCCAGCCAUGCCGCGUGGAUGAUGAAGGCCUUAGGGUUGUAAAGUCCUUUAACGGGAAGAUAAUGACGGUACCGUAGAAUAAGCCCGGCUAACUUCGCGCCAGCAGCCGC
This 444-nucleotide ribosomal RNA is filed under the name uncultured bacterium. RNAcentral's name for it is "SSU rRNA". It matches the Rfam family "Bacterial small subunit ribosomal RNA", at positions 26 to 518 of the family's 1533-position model. The record is from RNAcentral.